RNAcentral lists this ribosomal RNA (745 nucleotides) under insect metagenome. Its description in RNAcentral is "bacterial SSU rRNA". It matches the Rfam family "Bacterial small subunit ribosomal RNA", at positions 732 to 1497 of the family's 1533-position model. The record is from RNAcentral.
ACCAUCUAGCGACCUCCACCAACCACUGACCAUCUAGAUACCCUGGUAGUCCUAGCUGUAAACGAUGAUUACUGGGUGUGGGCAUGAAGAGUGUCCGUGCCGAAGCAAAUGCGAUAAGUAAUCCGCCUGGGGAGUACGGCCGCAAGGCUGAAACUCAAAGGAAUUGACGGGGACCCGCACAAGCGGUGGAGCAUGUGGUUUAAUUCGANNCAACGCGANGAACCUUACCANNNCUUGACAUCCAGUGCAAAGCUGUAGAAAUACAGUGGAGGUUAACAUUGAGACAGGUGGUGCAUGGUUGUCGUCAGCUCGUGCCGUGAGGUGUUUGGUUAAGUCCAGUAACGAGCGCAACCCUUGCCGUUAGUUACUCCAUUAAGUUGAGAUACUCUAACGGGACUGCUAGUGUAAGCUAGAGGAAGGUGGGGAUGACGUCAAAUCAGCAUGCCCCUUAUGUCUUGGGCUACACACGUGCUACAAUGGUCGGUACAAAAAGUUGCGAUCUCGUAAGAGGGAGCUAAUCUGAAAAAGCCGAUCUCAGUUCGGAUUGAGGGCUGCAACUCGCCCUCAUGAAGCCGGAAUCGCUAGUAAUCGCGAAUCAGUAAUGUCGCGGUGAAUACGUUCCCGGGUCUUGUACACACCGCCCGUCACACCAUGAGAGUGGAUAAUACCAGAAGUCGGUAUUCUAACCGCAAGGAGGAAGCCGCCCAAGGUAGGAUUGAUGAUUCGGGGGUGGAGGUCGCUAGAU